RNAcentral lists this ribosomal RNA (308 nucleotides) under uncultured bacterium. Its description in RNAcentral is "bacterial SSU rRNA". It matches the Rfam family "Bacterial small subunit ribosomal RNA", at positions 29 to 334 of the family's 1533-position model. The record is from RNAcentral.
AACGAACGCUGGCGGCAUGCUUAACACAUGCAAGUCGAACGAAGGCCCUGGCUUGCCAGGUUACCUUAGUGGCGCACGGGUGAGUAACGCGUGGGAACCUGCCCAGGAGUGGGGAAUAACUAUUGGAAACGAUAGCUAAUACCGCAUAUUUCCUGAGGGAGAAAGGCUCCAGUCUUUAGGGAUUGGUGCCGCUUUUGGAUGGUCCCGCGUCUGAUUAGCUUGUUGGUAGGGUAACGGCCUACCAAGGCGACGAUCAGUAGCUGGUCUGAGAGGAUGAUCAGCCACACUGGGACUGAGACACGGCCCAG